RNAcentral lists this ribosomal RNA (243 nucleotides) under uncultured bacterium. RNAcentral describes it as "partial 16S ribosomal RNA". It matches the Rfam family "Bacterial small subunit ribosomal RNA", at positions 92 to 334 of the family's 1533-position model. The record is from RNAcentral.
CGAGUGGCGAACGGGUGAGUAACGCGUGAGGAACCUGCCUCAAAGAGGGGGACAACAGUUGGAAACGACUGCUAAUACCGCAUAAGCCCACGACCCGGCAUCGGGAGAGGGAAAAGGAGCAAUCCGCUUUGAGAUGGCCUCGCGUCCGAUUAGCUAGUUGGUGAGGUAACGGCCCACCAAGGCGACGAUCGGUAGCCGGACUGAGAGGUUGAACGGCCACAUUGGGACUGAGACACGGCCCAG